Molecule: ribosomal RNA, 454 nt
Filed under: Photobacterium sp. Mj123
Lineage: Bacteria; Pseudomonadati; Pseudomonadota; Gammaproteobacteria; Vibrionales; Vibrionaceae
Description: bacterial SSU rRNA
Rfam family: Bacterial small subunit ribosomal RNA
Source: RNAcentral
GCCUACACAUGCAAGUCGAGCGGUAACAGGAAUUAGCUUGCUAAUUUGCUGACGAGCGGCGGACGGGUGAGUAAUGCCUGGGAAUAUGCCUUGAUGUGGGGGAUAACUAUUGGAAACGAUAGCUAAUACCGCAUAAUGCCUACGGGCCAAAGAGGGGGAUCUUCGGACCUCUCGCGUCAAGAUUAGCCCAGGUGGGAUUAGCUAGUUGGUGGGGUAAUGGCUCACCAAGGCGACGAUCCCUAGCUGGUUUGAGAGGAUGAUCAGCCACACUGGAACUGAGACACGGUCCAGACUCCUACGGGAGGCAGCAGUGGGGAAUAUUGCACAAUGGGGGAAACCCUGAUGCAGCCAUGCCGCGUGUAUGAAGAAGGCCUUCGGGUUGUAAAGUACUUUCAGUUGUGAGGAAGGCGGUAACGUUAAUAGCGUUACCGUUUGACGUAGCAACAGAAGAAGC